GAUGAAGAACGUAGCGAAAUGCGAUAAGUAAUGUGAAUUGCAGAAUUCAGUGAAUCAUCGAAUCUUUGAACGCACAUUGCGCCCCCUGGUAUUCCGGGGGGCAUGCCUGUUCGAGCGUCAUUUCACCACUCAAGCCUCGCUUGGUAUUGGGCAACGCGGUCCGCCGCGUGCCUCAAAUCGACCGGCUGGGUCUUCUGUCCCCUAAGCGUUGUGGAAACUUUCGCUAAAGGGUGUUCGGGAGGCUACGUCGUAAAACAACCCCAUUUCUAAGGUUGACCUCGGAUCAGGUAGGGAUACCCGCUGAACUUAAGCAUAUCAAUAAGCGGAGGA
Molecule: unclassified non-coding RNA, 330 nt
Filed under: soil metagenome
Description: partial contains 5.8S ribosomal RNA, internal transcribed spacer 2, and large subunit ribosomal RNA
Rfam family: 5.8S ribosomal RNA (bases 1-120)
Source: RNAcentral